AAAAAAAAAAAAAAAAAGACAAUUCUUGCUUCCCAGUAUAAACAAGUGAUGGGGAGAGGCAUGGAUGCUACAAUGGGAGAAAACUUGAACUGAUAUUGGCAACUAUGCAUUCAUAUUCAUAAAUUCUAUUGCAGACGUCUUCUCACUCUUAUACAAAGCUGACAUGUCAAAUUGCAUAAAAAAAUGGCAUAGGACAAUUACUUGUUGGCUUGUAUACUGAUGUGGGACUUUCCGCGGCUUGACAAUAUACAUUGUAGGGCAGGUCUCCUCCAGACUACUUAAAUUAUCUGACAGCUUAAAGAGACCCCACCACCACCCGUCAACUUUUAUCAUACACACAUAAAACAUCUCCUCUGUUUGGGACAAUUUUUCUGUAAAUAAUAUUUAGCUACAGAGAGUAAAAACAGUAAAUAGAAACAUUGAAAAAAUAAAAGAUGUUGCUAAGAAAAUGCCCUCUUCAAGGAGGUCCGAUUCUCCUUUUAGCCAGAAGUGGUUGAGAUUCAUUAUGGCUAAUCAUACUCCUUGGUUCAGUUCCCGUGGUAAUUGGCAGUUUAGCAGCUCUAGAUAAAGGUACUUCCUCUAUUGUGUUUUAAAGAGAAAAUUUCAAGAAUAUUAAGCUUUGUCAGAGAUAUUUGAAAGUAAGAAAUUAAAAUAAAAAAAUAUGUUUUUUAACCCGCAUUAUUGCUUCUUCCAUUUGAUACCAAAAGAAUAAAACAUAUGGAGAUUGAUAUGUGAAAAAGCUCAUUUGCAUAACUCAAAAUCAUUUCUAUCCUUGAAACAUCUGAGUUCAAAAUUGCACCUUCUUACAAGUGAUAUAUUUAAAUUUAUUAAAAAUUAAACCAAAAAAAUAGAUGUCAAAACUAGAAACUAAUCCAGGUAGGUUGCCUAGCUGUUCAGAUUGGUCUGUUCAUCAUGCCAAAAUAAAGCUAGACUCAAGCCCAAACAUAGGCUUGUUUAUUAAAGGGCAUGUUCUCAAGUAACAACAGGCUCCACGUACGGACUCAGAACUUGGAGAUGGACCUUGAAGAUUUUUAUUUUUCCCCUCAAAGGACCUUGAAGAUUGAAAAGGAGAAACCAGAUGAUGCUGAUAAUGAAAAGAAUUAAAGACAUAAACUAAGGGUGAAAGGCCUAAAUUGGCACUUAAAUUAUAAUCUGAUAGUAAAAUAAACUUCUAACUUUUAUUUACAGUCAAUUGAGUCCUUAAUUUUUAAUUAGAGUCAAUUAAAUCCUGUACAUUCUAAUUUAGUCUAAUUAAACUUAAUUUCAAUCAUGUGGGACCCACAAAACUAAUGAAAUAUUAUUUUCAAUGAUUUAAAAAUAAGAAAAUCUCAACCAAAAUUAAUGAAAAUAAAAAAUAUAAUCCAGAACAAGAUGAAAUACCUAUUCGUUCUCUUCCCCUCUCACUUGCACAUACACAUUUUACUUAUCCUCCCUCAGCUCACUCUCUCUCUCUCUCUGCACAUUCUACUAUUCCCUCUCACGAACCCUCAUCCUUCUAUCUCCUAAAAUCAAACAUUUCAAACAUAUAAACCAAUAUCAAUCAAUUUUACACAAACCAACAAAAUCCAACAAAAAAUUGCACAAACAAAGCAAAGAAAUUCCACUCAAUCCCAUCUUACCUUAGCAAUUUUCCAUAGCAACAAGAAUCACAUAGAAAGAAAGAAAGAAAAAUAACAAAGAAAAUUUCCAUCAUGCAUUUGCUGCUUAUUGAGUGAGCCAACACCUGUUGUUUUGGCAUUCUUCUUUAAAGCUAGCAAUGUAGGCACUUAAUUGGUGACGACAAGAAUCACGAAUAAAAAAAAACAUGAUGUAUUACAAACUAACUCAUGAAGCCACUGACACAAAUUAAAAUUCAAUCAUUGAGAUACAAGCCCAUUGAUUUCCGUUGCACUACCUCAGCAAUCUCAAUCACUUCAUCUAGCAAGAUGUUCUUCAUCUUCUUACUGUCUUUGAAGGGCCAAUUUAAGCUUUAUUAAUGGAUGAAAUAUGGCAGAAGAUAGAGGGUUAUGCUCAUGAUAACAGCAGAGUGGUGGUAGGUCACAAGAGCAUGAAAGUGGAGGUGAGGGGUUGCUGGGUAGUGAUUAAGAGGGGGAGAUUUAGAUUUGGCAUUUGUGAUAGAGAAGGGGAGGUGUUAGAGGCCGAG
RNAcentral lists this unclassified non-coding RNA (2143 nucleotides) under Hevea brasiliensis (rubber tree). Lineage: Eukaryota; Viridiplantae; Streptophyta; Magnoliopsida; Malpighiales; Euphorbiaceae. The record is from RNAcentral.